CGUGAAACGCCCCUGCGCCCAUGGUACUUCGUCUUAAGACGCGGGAGAGUAGGUCGCUGCCAGGUCUGCCAAACGCAACUCAGUUGAUAAAAUCUUCUCAAUCACAAGCCAACG
This 114-nucleotide ribosomal RNA is filed under the name Rhizobium sp. NXC14. The record is from RNAcentral. Lineage: Bacteria; Pseudomonadati; Pseudomonadota; Alphaproteobacteria; Hyphomicrobiales; Rhizobiaceae.